Molecule: ribosomal RNA, 497 nt
Filed under: uncultured bacterium
Lineage: Bacteria
Description: partial 16S ribosomal RNA
Rfam family: Bacterial small subunit ribosomal RNA
Source: RNAcentral
GAUGAACGCUGGCGGCGUGCCUAAUACAUGCAAGUCGAGCGAACGGACGAGAAGCUUGCUUUUCUGAUGUUAGCGGCGGACGGGUGAGUAACACGUGGAUAACCUACCUAUAAGACUGGGAUAACUUCGGGAAACCGGAGCUAAUACCGGAUAAUAUUUUGAACCGCAUGGUUCAAAAUUGAAAGACGGUCUUGCUGUCACUUAUAGAUGGAUCCGCGCUGCAUUAGCUAGUUGGUAAGGUAACGGCUUACCAAGGCAACGAUGCAUAGCCGACCUGAGAGGGGGAUCGGCCACCCGGGAACUGGGACACGGUCCGAAUUCCUACGGGAGGAAGCAGUAGGGAAUCUUCCGCAAGGGGCGAAAGCCUGACGGAGCAACGCCGCGGGAGGGAUGAAGGUCUUCGGAUCGUAAGACUCUGUUAUUAGGGAAGAACAUAGGUGUAAGUAACUGUGCACAUCGUGACGGUACCUAAUCAGAAAGCCACGGCUAACUACGUG